UUAAAUGAGAGUUUGAUCCUGGCUCAGGACGAACGCUGGCGGCGUGCCUAACACAUGCAAGUCGAGCGAAGUAAUCUUAAGGAAGUUUUCGGAUGGAAUUAAGAUUAUCUUAGCGGCGGACGGGUGAGUAACGCGUGAGAAACCUGCCUUUCACAAAGGGAUAGCCUCGGGAAACUGGGAUUAAUACCUUAUGACACUAAUAUACCGCAUGGUGAAUUAGUUAAAGCGUAAAGCGGUGAAAGAUGGUCUCGCGUCCCAUUAGUUAGUUGGUGAGGUAAUGGCUCACCAAGACCGCGAUGGGUAGCCGGCCUGAGAGGGUGAACGGCCACACUGGAACUGAGACACGGUCCAGACUCCUACGGGAGGCAGCAGUGGGGAAUAUUGCACAAUGGAGGAAACUCUGAUGCAGCGACGCCGCGUGAACGAUGAAGGUCUUCGGAUCGUAAAGUUCUGUCCUAGGGGACGAUAAUGACGGUACCCUAGGAGGAAGCCCCGGCUAACUACGUGCCAGCAGCCGCGGUAAUACGUAGGGGCGAGCGUUGUCCGGAAUUAUUGGGCGUAAAGGGUUCGUAGGCGGUUAUUUAAGUCAGGUGUGAAAGGCGCAGGCUCAACCUGUGUAAGCACUUGAAACUGGAUAACUUGAGUUAAGGAGAGGAAAGUGGAAUUCCUAGUGUAGCGGUGAAAUGCGUAGAUAUUAGGAGGAAUACCAGUGGCGAAGGCGACUUUCUGGACUUAUACUGACGCUGAGGAACGAAAGCGUGGGGAGCAAACAGGAUUAGAUACCCUGGUAGUCCACGCCGUAAACGAUGAGUGCUAGGUGUUGGGGGUCAAACCUCGGUGCCGCAGCUAACGCAUUAAGCACUCCGCCUGGGGAGUACGUACGCAAGUAUGAAACUCAAAGGAAUUGACGGGGACCCGCACAAGCAGCGGAGCAUGUGGUUUAAUUCGAAGCAACGCGAAGAACCUUACCAGGGCUUGACAUGCCCCUGCUCGUCCUAGAGAUAGGACUUUACCUUCGGGUACAGGGGACACAGGUGGUGCAUGGUUGUCGUCAGCUCGUGUCGUGAGAUGUUGGGUUAAGUCCCGCAACGAGCGCAACCCUUGCCUUUAGUUGCUAACAUUAAGUUGAGAACUCUAGAGGGACUGCCGAUGAUAAAUCGGAGGAAGAUGGGGAUGACGUCAAAUCAUCAUGCCCUUUAUGUCCUGGGCUACACACGUGCUACAAUGGUCGGUACAACGAGAAGCUACACAGCGAUGUGAUGCAAAUCUCUAAAAGCCGAUCCCAGUUCGGAUUGCAGGCUGCAACUCGCCUGCAUGAAGUCGGAGUUGCUAGUAAUCGCGAAUCAGAAUGUCGCGGUGAAUGCGUUCCCGGGUCUUGUACACACCGCCCGUCACACCAUGGGAGUUGGCAAUACCCGAAGCCAGUAAGCUAACCAGUAAUGGAGGCAGCUGUCGAAGGUAGGGUCAAUGACUGGGGUGAAGUCGUAACAAGGUAGCCGUAUCGGAAGGUGCGGCUGGAUCACCUCCUUU
RNAcentral lists this ribosomal RNA (1530 nucleotides) under Tissierella sp. Yu-01. RNAcentral's name for it is "bacterial SSU rRNA". It matches the Rfam family "Bacterial small subunit ribosomal RNA". Lineage: Bacteria; Bacillati; Bacillota; Tissierellia; Tissierellales; Tissierellaceae. The record is from RNAcentral.